Non-coding RNA from Anolis sagrei ordinatus, 346 nucleotides. Lineage: Eukaryota; Metazoa; Chordata; Lepidosauria; Squamata; Anolidae. The record is from RefSeq and is a predicted model, not a curated record.
CCAGGAAAGUGAGACCCUCAAUGGGGAAUCAAUGGAGAAAGGCCGCCGGCGAAUGAAGGACAACUUUGAGCAAUAUAGAAGGAAGAGGGCCCUGCGCCGCGUCCAUAAGGCCCGCUAUCACGAGGUGGACUGGGAGAACUCCUCCGGCUCCUGACCCCAAAGGACACCAUUCGAUCCCUCCUGACAGAUGGCCAGCUGGAAUAUUUUCGAGCCUGCUCUACAGAUUGGGAUAUAUUUAUAUAUGUAUAUAUUUAAUGUAUGUUUUGUACUCCAAGAGGCAAUGUCUCAUGGGAACAAGUAAUUCUUUGUAAUUAUUAAUGAUUCAUAUAAUAAUCCUCUUCCUAAA